GUCCACGCUGUAAACGAUGGAUACUAGGUGUGGGAGGUAUCGACCCCUUCCGUGCCGCAGUUAACGCAAUAAGUAUCCCGCCUGGGGAGUACGGCCGCAAGGUUGAAACUCAAAGGAAUUGACGGGGCCCGCACAAGCAGCGGAGCAUGUGGUUUAAUUCGAAGCAACGCGAAGAACCUUACCAGAACUUGACAUCGUCUGAAUUACUCUUAAUCGAGGAAGCCUUUCGGGGCAGAUAGACAGGUGGUGCAUGGUUGUCGU
This 261-nucleotide ribosomal RNA is filed under the name uncultured bacterium. RNAcentral's name for it is "partial 16S ribosomal RNA". It matches the Rfam family "Bacterial small subunit ribosomal RNA", at positions 793 to 1055 of the family's 1533-position model. The record is from RNAcentral.